RNAcentral lists this ribosomal RNA (449 nucleotides) under uncultured bacterium. RNAcentral's name for it is "partial 16S ribosomal RNA". It matches the Rfam family "Bacterial small subunit ribosomal RNA", at positions 29 to 523 of the family's 1533-position model. The record is from RNAcentral.
AAUGAUCGCUGGCGGCAGGCCUAACACAUGCAAGUCGAACGGAUCCUUCGGGAUUAGUGGCGGACGGGUGAGUAACGCGUGGGAACAUACCCUUUGGUACGGAAUAGCCUCGGGAAACUGGGAGUAAUACCGUAUGUGGUCGAGAGACGGAAGAUUUAUCGCCAAAGGAUUGGCCCGCGUUGGAUUAGGUAGUUGGUGGGGUAAUGGCCUAACAAGCCGACGAUCCAUAGCUGGUUUGAGAGGAUGAUCAGCCACACUGGGACUGAGACACGGCCCAGACUCUUACGGGAGGCAGCAGUGGGGAAUCUUACACAAUGGGGGAAACCCUGAUAUAGCCAUGCCGCGUGAUCGAUGAAGGCCUUAGGGUUGUAAAGAUCUUUCAGGUGGGAAGAUAAUGACUGUACCACCAGAAGAAGCCCCGGCUAACUCCGUGCCAGCAGCCGCCGUAA